This 492-nucleotide ribosomal RNA is filed under the name uncultured bacterium. RNAcentral describes it as "partial 16S ribosomal RNA". It matches the Rfam family "Bacterial small subunit ribosomal RNA", at positions 29 to 507 of the family's 1533-position model. The record is from RNAcentral.
AGUGAACGCUGGCGGUAGGCCUAAUACAUGCAAGUCGAACGGCAGCACAGUAAGAGCUUGCUCUUACGGGUGGCGAGUGGCGGACGGGUGAGGAAUACAUCGGAAUCUACUUUUUCGUGGGGGAUAACGUAGGGAAACUUACGCUAAUACUGCAUACGACCUACGUGUGAAAGCAGGGGAUCUCCGGACCUUGCGCGAUUGAAUGAGCCGAUGUCGGAUUAGCUAGUUGGCGGGGUAAAGGCCCACCAAGGCGACGAUCCGUAGCUGGUCUGAGAGGAUGAUCAGCCACACUGGAACUGAGACACGGUCCAGACUCCUACGGGAGGCAGCAGUGGGGAAUAUUGGACAAUGGGCGCAAGCCUGAUCCAGCCAUGCCGCGUGGGUGAAGAAGGCCUUCGGGUUGUAAAGCCCUUUUGUUGGGAAAGAAAAGCAGCAAGUUAAUACCCCGCUGUUCUGACGGUACCAAAAGAAUAAGCACCGGCUAACUUCGUG